This 253-nucleotide ribosomal RNA is filed under the name uncultured bacterium. RNAcentral's name for it is "partial 16S ribosomal RNA". It matches the Rfam family "Bacterial small subunit ribosomal RNA", at positions 524 to 776 of the family's 1533-position model. The record is from RNAcentral.
UACGGAGGGGGCUAGCGUUGUUCGGAAUUACUGGGCGUAAAGCGCACGUAGGCGGAUUGGUAAGUUGGGGGUGAAAUCCCGGGGCUCAACCCCGGAACUGCCUUCAAAACUCCCAGUCUGGAGGUCGAGAGAGGUGAGUGGAAUUCCGAGUGUAGAGGUGAAAUUCGUAGAUAUUCGGAGGAACACCAGUGGCGAAGGCGGCUCACUGGCUCGAUACUGACGCUGAGGUGCGAAAGCGUGGGGAGCAAACAGG